Molecule: long non-coding RNA, 1058 nt
Organism: Eleginops maclovinus (Patagonian blennie)
Lineage: Eukaryota; Metazoa; Chordata; Actinopteri; Perciformes; Eleginopidae
Exons: 3
Source: RefSeq, a predicted model, not a curated record
UUGUAAGAAGUUUGUUUGCUUGGCGGAAGUGAUCAAUUGUUAGCGCUCAGGUGAAGGUGUGUUAUUCGACGGUUUGACACUUGCUAGGCUAGGCUAACAUUAUGGAAACGUUUUGCUAAUGACUGGAGGACAACAAGUGACAAGCAAAUCGGCGAACCACACAUAAAUAACAUCAGCAAAAGCCCAAAAGUCCCUCAACUGGUUCACAGUCUUUGAAGCUCCAGCACAGUGAGACUGGAUUGACUGGAGAGAUUAGGCAGCCUCCGGACAUCGCAGUGUCAGCAACAACAAGACCUGGUGGUGUUGGGAAGGUGGAGUGAAGAAGACGGAGGAGUGGAUGAUGGUCUUGAGUGCAGGACAUCAUACGUCACUGGAGGUGCUAAAGCUGAGGAUCUGUCGUGAGCUUUCACUUAGGGAGACAACUCUGGCAGCUUCGGUGAAAUAUUUUGAUUUAGCGUCAGCAGGAAUGCAUGAAUCAGAAUCAUUUUCUUUCCUAAAACAUAUUUACUCAAUCAUUUUUUUGCCGACAAGUACAAGUUCUGGCAUUAAUAGAUCUGUGUGCAGUCAAAUUUUCACAUUUGUAGUUUCUGAUUCUGUCUCUCUGGCACAGCUUUUGUUGAAAAAGAAAUUAAAAGCUUGAUGGAUCUCGUCUAUUUAGCAGACCGAGUAAUUCCCUUUUUAUGAGUGGGUGUGGUAACAUACUAUAAUCUUUAUUUUAGUUUGGAUUUUUAUUUUGAAACUGCACUGCCAGUAGUGUUUUUGAGGAUAAGGAUCACAAAAGAUAAUAAUGCGAUUCUCAAAAGUUUUGAUAUUUUCUAAUAUCGCAAAAGUAAGCAAAAUGAGACAAUAACACAAACCGUAAUAUAUAUUUCACGUAAUACUCCCUCUUGUGUGAUCAAAGGAACAUUUCACACCUGAAAAAUGAACUUGUCAGUGCUCCCUGCUGGACCAACGUGGAACAACCCUGUGUGUAAACUAAACAAACCAUUGGCACUCAGACAUAUAUGUUGGUUAGGAUUACGAUAGAUGGAUAUCUUUGAUAAGAAAAUAUCAGCUUA